GCUUCCGUAGCUCAGUUGGUUAGAGCGGCGUACUAAUAAUGCGAAGGUCUCAGGUUCAAGCCCUGGCGGGAGCA
RNAcentral lists this transfer RNA (74 nucleotides) under Fusarium odoratissimum. Its description in RNAcentral is "tRNA-Ile (AAT) (tRNA-Ile-AAT-1-1)". It matches the Rfam family "tRNA". Rfam says of the family: Transfer RNA (tRNA) molecules are approximately 80 nucleotides in length. The record is from RNAcentral. Lineage: Eukaryota; Fungi; Ascomycota; Sordariomycetes; Hypocreales; Nectriaceae.